GACAGAGGGUGCGAACGUUGCUCGGAAUCAUUGGGCGUAAAGCGCGUGUAGGUGGCUUUUUACGUCGGAUGUGAAAGCCCGGGGCUCAACCCCGGCAGUGCAUCCGAAACGGGAGAGCUAGAGUGCUGGAGAGGCGGGUGGAAUUCCCGGUGUAGAGGUGAAAUUCGUAGAUAUCGGGAGGAACACCGGUGGCGAAGGCGGGUCUCUGGGCCGAUACUGACGCUGAGGAGCGAAAGCGUGGGGAGCGAACAGG
This 253-nucleotide ribosomal RNA is filed under the name uncultured bacterium. RNAcentral's name for it is "partial 16S ribosomal RNA". It matches the Rfam family "Bacterial small subunit ribosomal RNA", at positions 524 to 776 of the family's 1533-position model. The record is from RNAcentral.